UACGAAGGGGGCUAGCGUUGCUCGGAAUCACUGGGCGUAAAGCGCACGUAGGCGGAUCUCUAAGUCAGGGGUGAAAUCCUGGAGCUCAACUCCAGAACUGCCUUUGAUACUGAGAAGCUUGAGUCCGGGAGAGGUGAGUGGAACUGCGAGUGUAGAGGUGAAAUUCGUAGAUAUUCGCAAGAACACCAGUGGCGAAGGCGGCUCACUGGCCCGGUACUGACGCUGAGGUGCGAAAGCGUGGGUAGCAAACAGG
Molecule: ribosomal RNA, 253 nt
Filed under: uncultured bacterium
Lineage: Bacteria
Description: partial 16S ribosomal RNA
Rfam family: Bacterial small subunit ribosomal RNA
Source: RNAcentral